UAACACAAUGUAUGACAAACACCCAAUCUGCAUAUUCGGUAAUGAAAAGAAGCACAGAAGCCAAACCAGUACAACGUAAGAAAAGUGGACACACACAUAUAUAUAUAGACGCAUUCGAAGCUUAAAGGGAGGUCAAUGGCCAGGGUGGUCGAUAUUUGCCUCAAAGAAACCUUGGGGGUGGAGGGGAUGCAAAUGGGAUUUUAUACUUCUUACAGAAUGCCACGUAUUUUUUCCCGUUCGGGCACUUAGUACCAGGCGGCAAUGUUGGACGACGAGGAGGAAACUGAAAAUUAGGAGGAAUAUGAAUAUUAGGUUUUGGUUCAGGAAUAUGGAUUCCCGGAAUGCCCCUUGCUUGGACCGUCACUUGACCAGGAUGGUAAGUCUCUACUCCACCUGCACCACCCAAAACGCAUUACAGUGUCAGCUUUCAAGGUAAUUUGAUCAUUAAUUUUAGUGGUUAUUUGUUCUUUCUAUUCAGUUCCGAAAAAAAAACUCAAAACCAAACACCCUUUUAAAAAAACCUGAUUACUUAUAACGUAGACACAAUAAAGACUUCGGAAUAUCUAAAGACGAAAUGACUCACUAAGUUUCUGGAGCUCCCUUUGUUCGCCAUGUGGAAACACGAGAAGAAGAAGAAGAACGACAAGCAUGGAAGAGACUACGGAAGAUUUCAUCUUAAUUUGUAUAUUCCCUCUUAGUUUACUUAUCAGUGUGCCUCACGCUUAUGCAUUUAUAUAGAAAAUAGGGGGAUGGAAAUAAAAGGAUAGGUUUUCACCCAAAAACGUUAAAAGUCAUUAUAGUAAAUGAAAGUUAAAGAUAGUUAGAGCAUAAUAGCCCAAGAUGAAACUAGUGAAGAGAUAAGAGUGCGAGCGAGAGAGAGAGAGAGAGAGAGUUAGUCGUCUGUCACUUAAUUAUGGGUCUUCAAGUUUUGGUACUCUUUGGUGAAAAGUCCUCGCUGGCUGCCAUGUUUUGGCUUACUAGCGGAGAAACAGAGAGAGAGAGAGAGAGACGACUUAGUUGUGAGUGUCACUUAUGGGUCUUCAAGUUUUGGUACUCUUCGGUGAAAAGUCCUCGCUGGCUGCCAUGUUUUGGCUUACUAGCGGAGAGACAGAGAGAGAGAGAGAGACGACUUAGUUGUGAGUGUCACUUAUGGGUCUUCAAGUUUUGGUACUCUUCGAUCGAGACGACUUACUUGUGAAUGUCGCUGGCUGCCAUGUUUUUGGGUUUACUAAACGGUGAGAGAGAGAGAGAGAGAGAAAGAGAGAGAGAGAGAGAGAGAGAGAGAGAGAGAGAGAGAGAGAGAGACGACUUAGUUGUGAGUAUCACUUAUGGGUCUUCAAGUUUUGGCCGCCAUGUUUUGGUUUACUAGGUCAAGUGCUUUGCAUUGCAUUAUUUUCCCUUAUAACUUACUUUGGUAAUUUGUAUAUAUCAGGUACCAGAAAGACUGAAAGCGAAUAUAAACCAGGACCAUUUUAACGCCCAAUAUUGUAUCUUAUAUUAUUUCUUUUUUCCUCUCCUCAUGUUUUCUACUUUCUCUCUUUCCAGUUGACCAAAACAAUUGUACAUAAUAUCUAUCUCUUGGUCUUCGUAAAC
This 1593-nucleotide long non-coding RNA is filed under the name Eutrema salsugineum. RNAcentral's name for it is "long non-coding RNA (ESAL_LNC001093)". The record is from RNAcentral. Lineage: Eukaryota; Viridiplantae; Streptophyta; Magnoliopsida; Brassicales; Brassicaceae.